ACCUUUAUCAGCAGUGUAAAAGGCAAGGGGUAAUUAUUUCCCCACAGUGCUGAUUUUGCAGCAACUGGUGCGUCUCCUGGCGCACCUUUUU
RNAcentral lists this small RNA (91 nucleotides) under Salmonella enterica subsp. enterica serovar Typhimurium str. SL1344. Its description in RNAcentral is "STnc2130". RNAcentral also lists the same sequence under 1 other name. Lineage: Bacteria; Pseudomonadati; Pseudomonadota; Gammaproteobacteria; Enterobacterales; Enterobacteriaceae. The record is from RNAcentral.